This 328-nucleotide ribosomal RNA is filed under the name uncultured Smithella sp. RNAcentral's name for it is "bacterial SSU rRNA". It matches the Rfam family "Bacterial small subunit ribosomal RNA", at positions 1052 to 1382 of the family's 1533-position model. The record is from RNAcentral. Lineage: Bacteria; Pseudomonadati; Thermodesulfobacteriota; Syntrophia; Syntrophales; Smithellaceae.
UCGUCAGCUCGUGUCGUGAGAUGUUGGGUUAAAGUCCCGCAACGAGCGCAACCCUAUCUUUAAUUGCCAUCAUUCAGUUGGGCACUUUAGAGAGACUGCCGGUGUUAAGCCGGAGGAAGGUGGGAUGACGUCAAGUCCUCAUGGCCUUUAUGUCUAGGGCUACACACGUGCUACAAUGGGUGGUACAAAGAGCAGCUAACUCGCGAGAGUAUGCAAAUCUCAAAAAGCCAUCCUCAGUUCGGAUUGGAGUCUGCAACUCGACUCCAUGAAGUUGGAAUCGCUAGUAAUCGCGGAUCAGCAUGCCGCGGUGAAUACGUUCCCGGGCCUU